GGCAGGUAACCUAGUGGUUAGAGUGUAGGGGUGGCAGGUAGCCUAGUGGUUAGAGUGUAGGGGUGGCAGGUAGCCUAGUGGUUAGAGUAUAGAGGUGGCAGGUAGCCUAGUGGUUAGAGUGUAGGGGAGGCAGGUAGCCUAGUGGUUAGAGUGUAGGGGUGGCAGGUAGCCUAGUGGUUAGAGUGUAGGGGUGGCAGGUAGUCUAGUGGGUAGAGUGUAGGGGUGGCAGGUAGCCUAGUGGUUAGAGUGUACAGGUGGCAGGUAGUCUAGUGGGUAGAGUGUAGAGGUGGCAGGUAGCCUAGUGGUUAGAGUGUAGGGGUGGCAGG
Long non-coding RNA from Oncorhynchus tshawytscha (Chinook salmon), 326 nucleotides. NCBI's taxonomy places the organism in Eukaryota, Metazoa, Chordata, Actinopteri, Salmoniformes, Salmonidae. The record is from Ensembl.